Molecule: ribosomal RNA, 203 nt
Filed under: uncultured bacterium
Lineage: Bacteria
Description: partial 16S ribosomal RNA
Rfam family: Bacterial small subunit ribosomal RNA
Source: RNAcentral
UACGUAGGGUGCGAGCGUUAAUCGGAAUUACUGGGCGUAAAGCGUGCGCAGGCGGUUUUGUAAGCCAGAUGUGAAAGCCCCGGGCUCAACCUGGGAAUGGCAUUUGGGACUGCAAGGCUUGAGUGCGGCAGAGGAGACUGGAAUUCCUGGUGUAGCAGUGAAAUGCGUAGAAGAUGUGGAGGAACACCGAUGGCGAAGGAGCA